AGGGCGUAUCCCGAAAAGCCCUUAUAAAACGAGUAGGGA
Molecule: non-coding RNA, 39 nt
Filed under: unclassified sequences
Description: DUF805b RNA
Rfam family: DUF805b RNA
About the family: Bacteroidetes, Chlorobi (1 example), Proteobacteria. Lineage (Flavobacteria)
Source: RNAcentral